Molecule: ribosomal RNA, 364 nt
Filed under: Listeria monocytogenes
Lineage: Bacteria; Bacillati; Bacillota; Bacilli; Caryophanales; Listeriaceae
Description: partial 23S ribosomal RNA
Rfam family: Bacterial large subunit ribosomal RNA
Source: RNAcentral
CUAAGUACCUGGAGGAAGAGAAAGAAAAAUCGAUUUCCUGAGUAGCGGCGAGCGAAACGGAAAGAGCCCAAACCAAGAAGCUUGCUUCUUGGGGUUGUAGGACACUCUAUACGGAGUUACAAAAGAAAGUUAUAAAUGAAGCGGUCUGGAAAGGCCCGCCAAAGACGGUAACAGCCCGGUAGUUGAAAUGGCUUUCCCUCCAGAGUGGAUCCUGAGUACGGCGGAACACGUGAAAUUCCGUCGGAAUCCGGGAGGACCAUCUCCCAAGGCUAAAUACUCCCUAGUGACCGAUAGUGAACCAGUACCGUGAGGGAAAGGUGAAAAGCACCCCGGAAGGGGAGUGAAACAGUUCCUGAAACCGUGU